UCGUAGGGUUAGUCGGGACCUAAGUCGAGUCCGAAAGGGGUAGACGAUGGCAAAUCGGUUAAUAUUCCGAUACCGACAUAUGAGCGUGAUGGGGGGACGUAUAGGGCUAAGACGAGGUCACUGAUGGAAUAGUGGCUCGAAGGGCGUAGGUUAGGAACCAGGCAAAUCCGGUUCCUUUUAAGCUGAAACCUUACAGGCAGAACAAUCUCUUCGGAGAGCGGUCUGAAUCGUCUGACGCCGUCGUACCGAGAAAAGCCUCUAAGCAUAUCAUAUGUCGCCCGUACCGUAAACCGACACAGGUGGGUGAGAUGAGUAUUCUAAGGCGCGUGGAAGAACCCUGGUUAAGGAACUCUGCAAACUAGCACCGUAACUUCGGAAUAAGGUGUGCCUACUUCGGUAGGCCGCAGCAAAGAGUCCCUCCCGA
This 424-nucleotide ribosomal RNA is filed under the name uncultured Campylobacterota bacterium. Its description in RNAcentral is "bacterial LSU rRNA". It matches the Rfam family "Bacterial large subunit ribosomal RNA", at positions 1372 to 1799 of the family's 2925-position model. The record is from RNAcentral. Lineage: Bacteria; Pseudomonadati; Campylobacterota.